This is a long non-coding RNA of Suricata suricatta (meerkat), 515 nucleotides long. RefSeq lists it as uncharacterized. NCBI's taxonomy places the organism in Eukaryota, Metazoa, Chordata, Mammalia, Carnivora, Herpestidae. The record is from RefSeq and is a predicted model, not a curated record. The transcript is spliced from 4 exons.
ACCGGUUCUCAGGCCCUGGGAGGCGGAGUCUCGCGGGAAGGCAGGGGACACACCCACGCGGGAGGAGGGGUCCAUGUCAGCUCCCACCUUUUUGGGUGGUCAGACAUCACCGCGGCUGGUGUCGGCUUUCAGUGCCCUGUACAUGAGGGGAGAAUGGCUGAGUGCCCUGUACCUGAGAGGGGGUAGAAGAAUGUGAGCUGUCACAUGAGAGGAAUACACUGGAUGCUUCAUCUGUACCGAUUUCUCAAGGUGCUAGGUCUUCUUUCCCUACUGCACAGUCCAGUAACCUGCAUGCCUUCUCCCAGUAGGAUAUAGGAGGACUUUGGAGACAUUCCAGACUCAAGGAAUCACAGAGAAGGGUAUGAGCCUGAUGACAAGGAUUAAAUGAAGUCUACCUAUCAAAAUAUUCCCCACCCAGCUCCCAAAUGUCUGUAUCCAACUAUCUGAGAAAAUACCUUUAGAAACUAACAUUGGAGGGGUCCUCAAUUAAAAACAAAAUGUGUGUUGGGGCACCU